RNA transcript from Condylura cristata (star-nosed mole), 312 nucleotides. The record is from RefSeq and is a predicted model, not a curated record. Lineage: Eukaryota; Metazoa; Chordata; Mammalia; Eulipotyphla; Talpidae.
AACAUGGCGGAUGACGUGGACCAGCAACAAACAACAAACACUGUAGAAGAGCCCCUGGAUCUCAUUAGGCUUAGCUCAGAUGAGCGAAUUAAUGUGAAAAUGAGAAAUGACAGAGAGCUUCGAGGCAGGUUACAUGCUUAUGAUCAACAUUUAAAUAUGAUAUUGGGAGAUGUGGAAGAAACUGUAACUGCUAUAGAAAUUGAUGAGGAAACCUAUGAAGAAAUCUAUAAAUCAACAAAACGGAAUAUCCCGAUGCUCUUUGUCUGGGGAGAUGGUGUUGCUCUAGUUGUCCCUCCAUUGAGAGUUGACUAA